Long non-coding RNA from Prinia subflava (tawny-flanked prinia), 357 nucleotides. RefSeq lists it as uncharacterized. Lineage: Eukaryota; Metazoa; Chordata; Aves; Passeriformes; Cisticolidae. The transcript has 4 exons. The record is from RefSeq and is a predicted model, not a curated record.
AGGCAGGAUAUGCAGUCAGAAUUACGGGAUAAAUCCAGACGUGGCUUGCUCCUGGUGAAAGAGGUUCUUCCAUAUGGCACACAGCCCAUGAAGUUAUCUGUGCCUCUGACUACAGCCAACAGUGAGACAUUUGGAGCACAGGUGUCAUUAUGUACAUGCUCAAGCUUGGAAGAAAAGCUUUUGACCCAAUAAGAAGGGAAGAUCUCUGCUUUGAAAAAUUUGAUCUGGGAAACAAUUACCAAGGCUGAAACGAUGUUGCUCAUUCAGCUGUGGUGAGAAUGAGGUGGGAAUACGUCAGUGGAGAAAGACAUAUGGUAAGAAUUUGUCAUUAAAGGAAAAACAUACAGGACUGUCAUC